GUGUAUUUUAAUCAAUAACUGUCGAUGCAGCAUUUAAUUACUAUAUAAGCUGCGCAUUCGACAUGAGGAAAUUAGUCUUAAGUUAGCAGUUAAGGUGGUUAGUUCGCUGUUGAAAGAAUCUAUUUUUGGUUUUUGGCAGUUGUUCGGCUGCUAUUAUCGAAGCAUGUACCUGCCCGCAAUAAUUGCCAUUGACAAGGAUAGUAGUUUCCGAUACGGAGGAAAUGAGGAAAUAAAUGCUGGUGUCGUUUGAAUUAGGAAGUUCAUUAAUAUGUAUUUAUUACAUUUUAAACGGGCCGAGGUAAAAUGUUACUGUUAUUUAUUAAUUUAUCCACGAAAUUUUAGGGCACCACCCAUGCUCUACUUAUAACUGUCCACAUGUCAAAAAAGCUCUUUAUCCUUUAUCGGAAUUUGCCUCUUUUACGUACUCUUUAAUUAGCAGGGUAAAAUCAACCAUUCCUAAAAAGCUUUGAUGGUUUGAAGCUACAGACUUGGAAAAAGGUGUAAAAGUAAGGAUUUGUCAAUUAUCUAGGAAGCAUGAAGCGAAAACCCAAAUGUUUAAAUGAAACCUGCUCUUUGACCAAUGGCAGGGCCGCAUAUAGAAAAUAAAAAAUAAGUAAAAUA
Molecule: long non-coding RNA, 621 nt
Organism: Dendroctonus ponderosae (mountain pine beetle)
Lineage: Eukaryota; Metazoa; Arthropoda; Insecta; Coleoptera; Curculionidae
Exons: 2
Source: RefSeq, a predicted model, not a curated record